This is a non-coding RNA of Coffea arabica (coffee), 3142 nucleotides long. The record is from RefSeq and is a predicted model, not a curated record. NCBI's taxonomy places the organism in Eukaryota, Viridiplantae, Streptophyta, Magnoliopsida, Gentianales, Rubiaceae.
GUCUUCUCCCCAUCUUUGCCUUGCUCUGAGCUUCCAUUUUUACCGGUUCACCAUGACAAAUCGAUUACACGAAGAGGAGGAUGAAGACCCGGUGAGAUAGUCCUUUAAUCUCCCACCACCUCCGCACACUCUUAUCUCUGGUCUUAACCCUCCUCCUGCAGACCCCUCCGACUCCAUUUCUUCCCUGAUAACUCCCCGCCGUCGUGUAUCAACCUAUUUUCCCACUUCCUAUCUUCCCCCGGAAUGCAGUCCGUGUUGAUAGCAGCAGAGGAAUCGCAUGUUCUCCUCGGAAUAUUAAACAAUAGCUUCCAAACCCUAGACUCGGUUCCCUGUUUCAGUUUAUGGAAGUGAAUUAUGCAAUACUUGUUUGGAGUAAUAUUGAGCUUAUAGUUUCUGUGUGUAUGCCUUCUGUAACUGAUGUUCCAUAAGUUCCGCGGGCAAAGCAUAUCAUGGGAUGCUAUAGGCAGUGAAUGCUGUGACUUUGAAGUGAAAUAUAAUCGAGAUAUAACUAUAAUUAGAGCUUUAUGCUUGGAGGGUAAUUUGGGGGUAGCUCUAUCUCUUUGGUAUACGAUGAUACAGAAAAGUGUUAUUCCUGAUAUUAUCACCCACAAUUAUCUAAUAAACAGCUUCUGCAAAACUGGUAACUUGGAUAAGGCAGAGUGGCUUAUCAAAGAGGUUAUUUAGGGGUCCUCCUCCCAAUUGUGCAACUUACAACACUUUAAUAAAGGGUUAUUGUAUUCAGAAUGGUAUUGAAAGGGCUUUAAAUCUGUUUUCAACAAUGGCCAACAGUGGUAUUAUCCCAAACAGAGUUACUUGUACAUUACUGUACAUGCUCUUUGUAAGAAAGGUCUGCUGGAGGAUUCAAGAAAGCUUCUUAUGGAAAUAUUAGGUGACACUCACCGUAAGGACACAUCGAAUUUGAUAACAUCGACUAUAUUAAUGGGUGGGUCCUUUAACAAUGGACAUAUAAAUCAGGCUCUCACUUAUUUGGAUGGCAUUUUUUGCAGGAGUCUCCCAGUUGAUGCUGUUGCCUACAAUGUUGUCAUUCAUGGAUUCUGUUUGAUCAGAGAUAUAUCCAUUGCUUAUAAAUAUGUCUGCAAAAUGUUUACGUGUGGUUUUCUUCCUGAUAUAUUUUCUUCCAAUACUCUUAUUGGUGCUUUCUGUAAGGAAGGAUGGACCACUGAGGCUUGUUAUAUCUACAAUAUUAUGUCCAAAAUGGGUGUUUGUCCUGAUCAAAUCUCUUACAAGAUGAUUAUACAAGGGCUAUGUUUUCAUGACGAUGCAACAAAAGCUAAUCUGUUUCUUCAUGCUAUGUUAGAUAACUCAUUUUGCCUGAACCUCUCAUUUGGAAUGUCAUAAUUGAUGGUUAUGGGAGGUGUGGUAAUAUGCAAAAGGCAUUAUACAUCAGGAAUCAAAUGAUUGCCUUUGGAUUAAUGCCAAACACAUUUACUUAUAAUGCCUUGAUCCAUGCACAGAUAAAAAGUGGAAAUAUCAUUGAGGCACUUUCUUUGAAGAAGGAGAUGCUUCUAGAUGGUUAUUUUCCAGGCUUAAUUACGUACAUUCUCUUGUUGGGUGCCUCUUGCAUUCUUGGUAACAUUCAUUCAGUGCUGCAGCUAUAUGAUGAAAUAAUAAGAGGAGGUUAUUACCCAGACACAAUAACAUACACUGAGCCAAUUAAGUUUUGCUGUACACAAGGUUAUACAGAGAAGGCAGAAGAACUCUUGGAAAAGUUACAGGCUUUGGAUUUACAGGUUUUGGAUUUACAGGUUGACCAUGUUCCAUAUCUGAUACUCAUGAAAAAGUAUUGCAAGAUGAUGGAGCUAGACAAAGCAUUUGAACUUUAUCAGAAGUGGUUAUUCAGAAAGAGUUGAGAAUACCUUUAGUAUUGAUCAAUUGGUACUCUGGGCUGCAAAAAUUUUUCUGAUCAAUACAGCUCCCUGCUGGCAGUACACUUCAUGCAUUACAUUAAUUCAUUAUCUGUUCAAAGGAAGGAUGGUUGACAUCUUCUGCAAGUUGAUGAUCUCCACUUGAAGGCAGCCUGACUUUCACCUUUAGACUAUAGUCCCUGGGAGAAGCUGACCAGGAAACACAUGCCACGUUUGAUUAAAGGAGACUAUUGAUGGCCUUAGGUGUUGUUCUGUCAACCAUCUUUUUAGAAUUUUAUGGAACGUACAGAGAUUUCAUUAUACAGAUUCAAACUUUGCCAGUUGUCCUCGAGCUCAAGGAGGAGGAAAUCUCUUUUUGAGCAUCUUUGUAAUGUUGAUUGCACAGAUAUUGUUCAGGUUUGGCCUAGUUCUUCCAAUAUGUCUGUGGCGUGCCUCAUGAAACUCAGUUUUACCUGUCAAGAGCAGUGGACAAUGGGUAUCACUGAUUGCUUGGCUGGUGGGGAUGAGUUGGUUUUAUGAAUUGCAUCUUAUUGUAUUCUACAUGUUAGAGAUCAAUCACCGCAAUUGCUUUUCACUGGGUCUGUACAUCCAUCAUAUUCGUGCUGCUUCUGCUACUGAAGCUGAUGAGCAUUCUUAACGUUUUUGGUGGUGAUUCGUGGUUAGGAUUUUACUGUGGCGGCAUGUACAGAGGAACUGACCAUUCCUUUUCUCAUAAAAAUUUAGUGCUCAUUCAACUGCAGGUAGCUGAAGACCGCGGCAAAAUCAGAAAAUAUGCCUAAGAAAUUCCCUGCUUGCAAGAUAAGGAUACCAAGGUUCACAUUUGAUUCUUUGCCGUUGGUCAUCGUCCUUUACAUCAUCCCAAAUUUCAUCUAAUGAACCAUUCGCAGAAAGCUUGAUAGCGAACCUCCUCAACAAAAUGUAUUAGAUGGAGAUGUAAGGGCGGUAUAAGAUAAAUUUGAGAAUCUGUCAUGAAGCUGUUGAUAGAUAUUCGAUUGCCGAAGUUCUCCGUUAUUGUAGGUCAAUUUUGUUGGUCGUGACUUACUGCCUUUUUAUGUUAAAUUUGGAGCGGGCACCUUGGGAUAUUGAGGAUUAUUGGUCUUGCCAACCAUUUGGCUGGAAGUUAAGUGGGAGAAAAUACUUUUGCUUAGAUAUGCAUGGACAAUUUCAUUCAUUGUGAACCCUCUAUGCUUUCAUUGAUUUUCAUUUUUCUAUUUUGGACAAUUUACCCCAUAAAAUUAGGAAAAGAUUUCAUACUA